GACGAACGCUGGCGGCGUGCCUAAUACAUGCAAGUCGUGCGCACGGAAGGGAGCUUGCUCCCGGAAGUGAGCGGCGGAUGGGUGAGUAACACGUGGGCAACCUGCCUGAAAGACGGGGAUAACUCCGGGAAACGGGAGCUAAUACCGGAUAGGGCUCCGACACCGCCUGGUGUCGGAGGGAAAGAUGGUUUCGGCCAUCGCUUUCAGAGGGGCCCGCGGUGCAUUAGCUGGUUGGCGGGGCAACGGCCCACCAAGGCAACGAUGCAUAGCCGACCUGAGAGGGUGAUCGGCCACAUUGGGACUGAGACACGGCCCAAACUCCUACGGGAGGCAACAGUAGGGAAUCUUCCGCAAUGGACGCAAGUCUGACGGAGCAACGCCGCGUGAGCGAAGAAGGUUUUCGGAUCGUAAAGCUCUGUUGCCGGAGAAGAACGGGAGGGAGAGGCAAUGCUCUCUUCGUGACGGUAUCCGGCCAGAAAGCCACGGCUAACUAC
RNAcentral lists this ribosomal RNA (494 nucleotides) under uncultured bacterium. RNAcentral describes it as "bacterial SSU rRNA". It matches the Rfam family "Bacterial small subunit ribosomal RNA", at positions 28 to 504 of the family's 1533-position model. The record is from RNAcentral.